AGAUGUUAAAUAGAUAUACUAUGUUCAAUUGCGGUUUGAUUUGAUUUACAUCUU
RNAcentral lists this transfer RNA (54 nucleotides) under Strongyloides ratti. RNAcentral's name for it is "tRNA SRAE_M000000021". The record is from RNAcentral. Lineage: Eukaryota; Metazoa; Nematoda; Chromadorea; Rhabditida; Strongyloididae.